RNAcentral lists this ribosomal RNA (387 nucleotides) under Triticum aestivum (bread wheat). RNAcentral describes it as "partial small subunit ribosomal RNA". The record is from RNAcentral. Lineage: Eukaryota; Viridiplantae; Streptophyta; Magnoliopsida; Poales; Poaceae.
AUGGGGGAGCAAGGCAGGGCGAGCAACAAGAUCAGGGACAUCGUGAGGCUGCAGCAGCUCCUCAGGAAGUGGAAGCGGCUUGCGCUCACGCCCAAGGCCGGCAGCAGGCACGGUGGUGGCGGUGGUGCUGCCGGCGUCCCGCGGGGCUUCUUCGCGGUGUGCGUCGGGGAGGAGAUGAGGAGGUUCGUGAUCCCCACGGAGUACCUCGGGCACUGGGCGUUCGAGGAGCUGCUCAGGGAGGCCGAGGAGGAGUUCGGGUUCCGGCACGAGGGCGCCCUGAGGAUCCCCUGCGACGUGGAGGUGUUCGAGGGCAUCCUGAGGCUUGUGGGCGGGAAGAAGGAGGCCCUGUCCUACAGCUCUUCGGAGCAUGGGAUCUUGUGCACAUGA